GACGAACGCUGGCGGCGUGCCUAAUACAUGCAAGUUGAGCGCUGAAGGUUGGUACUUGUACCGACUGGAUGAGCAGCGAACGGGUGAGUAACGCGUGGGGAAUCUGCCUUUGAGCGGGGGACAACAUUUGGAAACGAAUGCUAAUACCGCAUAAAAACUUUAAACACAAGUUUUAAGUUUGAAAGAUGCAAUUGCAUCACUCAAAGAUGAUCCCGCGUUGUAUUAGCUAGUUGGUGAGGUAAAGGCUCACCAAGGCGAUGAUACAUAGCCGACCUGAGAGGGUGAUCGGCCACAUGGGGGAGGAGACACGGACCAAACCCCUACGGGAGGCAGCAGUAGGGAAUCUUCGGCAAUGGACGAAAGUCUGACCGAGCAACGCCGCGUGAGUGAAGAAGGUUUUCGGAUCGUAAAACUCGGUUGGUAGAGAAGAGCGUUGGUGAGAGUGGAAAGCUCAACAAGUGACGGUAACUACCCAGAAAGGGACGGCUAACUACGUG
This 497-nucleotide ribosomal RNA is filed under the name uncultured bacterium. Its description in RNAcentral is "partial 16S ribosomal RNA". It matches the Rfam family "Bacterial small subunit ribosomal RNA", at positions 28 to 507 of the family's 1533-position model. The record is from RNAcentral.